RNAcentral lists this ribosomal RNA (2684 nucleotides) under Salmonella enterica subsp. enterica serovar Enteritidis. RNAcentral's name for it is "partial 23S ribosomal RNA". It matches the Rfam family "Bacterial large subunit ribosomal RNA". Lineage: Bacteria; Pseudomonadati; Pseudomonadota; Gammaproteobacteria; Enterobacterales; Enterobacteriaceae. The record is from RNAcentral.
GAACCGUUAUAACCGGCGAUACCCGAAUGGGGAAACCCAGUGUGAUUCGUCACACUAUCAUUAACUGAAUCCAUAGGUUAAUGAGGCGAACCGGGGGAACUGAAACAUCUAAGUACCCCGAGGAAAAGAAAUCAACCGAGAUUCCCCCAGUAGCGGCGAGCGAACGGGGAGGAGCCCAGAGCCUGAAUCAGCAUGUGUGUUAGUGGAAGCGUCUGGAAAGGCGCGCGAUACAGGGUGACAGCCCCGUACACAAAAGCGCAUGUGCUGUGAGCUCGAUGAGUAGGGCGGGACACGUGGUAUCCUGUCUGAAUAUGGGGGGACCAUCCUCCAAGGCUAAAUACUCCUGACUGACCGAUAGUGAACCAGUACCGUGAGGGAAAGGCGAAAAGAACCCCGGCGAGGGGAGUGAAAAAGAACCUGAAACCGUGUACGUACAAGCAGUGGGAGCACCCUUUGGGUGUGACUGCGUACCUUUUGUAUAAUGGGUCAGCGACUUAUAUUCUGUAGCAAGGUUAACCGAAUAGGGGAGCCGGAGGGAAACCGAGUCUUAAUUGGGCGUUAAGUUGCAGGGUAUAGACCCGAAACCCGGUGAUCUAGCCAUGGGCAGGUUGAAGGUUGGGUAACACUAACUGGAGGACCGAACCGACUAAUGUUGAAAAAUUAGCGGAUGACCUGUGGCUGGGGGUGAAAGGCCAAUCAAACCGGGAGAUAGCUGGUUCUCCCCGAAAGCUAUUUAGGUAGCGCCUCGUGAAUUCAUCUCCGGGGGUAGAGCACUGUUUCGGCUAGGGGGCCAUCCCGGCUUACCAACCCGAUGCAAACUGCGAAUACCGGAGAAUGUUAUCACGGGAGACACACGGCGGGUGCUAACGUCCGUCGUGAAGAGGGAAACAACCCAGACCGCCAGCUAAGGUCCCAAAGUCAUGGUUAAGUGGGAAACGAUGUGGGAAGGCCCAGACAGCCAGGAUGUUGGCUUAGAAGCAGCCAUCAUUUAAAGAAAGCGUAAUAGCUCACUGGUCGAGUCGGCCUGCGCGGAAGAUGUAACGGGGCUAAACCAUGCACCGAAGCUGCGGCAGCGACACUGUGUGUUGUUGGGUAGGGGAGCGUUCUGUAAGCCUGUGAAGGUGUGUCGUGAGGCAUGCUGGAGGUAUCAGAAGUGCGAAUGCUGACAUAAGUAACGAUAAAGCGGGUGAAAAGCCCGCUCGCCGGAAGACCAAGGGUUCCUGUCCAACGUUAAUCGGGGCAGGGUGAGUCGACCCCUAAGGCGAGGCCGAAAGGCGUAGUCGAUGGGAAACGGGUUAAUAUUCCCGUACUUGGUGUUACUGCGAAGGGGGGACGGAGAAGGCUAUGUUGGCCGGGCGACGGUUGUCCCGGUUUAAGCGUGUAGGUGUGUGUUCCAGGUAAAUCCGGUUCACUUUAACACUGAGGCGUGACGACGAGGCACUACGGUGCUGAAGCAACAAAUGCCCUGCUUCCAGGAAAAGCCUCUAAGCAUCAGGUAACAUCAAAUCGUACCCCAAACCGACACAGGUGGUCAGGUAGAGAAUACCAAGGCGCUUGAGAGAACUCGGGUGAAGGAACUAGGCAAAAUGGUGCCGUAACUUCGGGAGAAGGCACGCUGACACGUAGGUGAAGUGAUUUACUCAUGGAGCUGAAGUCAGUCGAAGAUACCAGCUGGCUGCAACUGUUUAUUAAAAACACAGCACUGUGCAAACACGAAAGUGGACGUAUACGGUGUGACGCCUGCCCGGUGCCGGAAGGUUAAUUGAUGGGGUCAGCGCAAGCGAAGCUCCUGAUCGAAGCCCCGGUAAACGGCGGCCGUAACUAUAACGGUCCUAAGGUAGCGAAAUUCCUUGUCGGGUAAGUUCCGACCUGCACGAAUGGCGUAAUGAUGGCCAGGCUGUCUCCACCCGAGACUCAGUGAAAUUGAACUCGCUGUGAAGAUGCAGUGUACCCGCGGCAAGACGGAAAGACCCCGUGAACCUUUACUAUAGCUUGACACUGAACAUUGAGCCUUGAUGUGUAGGAUAGGUGGGAGGCUUUGAAGUGUGGACGCCAGUCUGCAUGGAGCCGACCUUGAAAUACCACCCUUUAAUGUUUGAUGUUCUAACGUGGACCCGUUACCCGGGUUGCGGACAGUGUCUGGUGGGUAGUUUGACUGGGGCGGUCUCCUCCUAAAGAGUAACGGAGGAGCACGAAGGUUGGCUAAUCCUGGUCGGACAUCAGGAGGUUAGUGCAAUGGCAUAAGCCAGCUUGACUGCGAGCGUGACGGCGCGAGCAGGUGCGAAAGCAGGUCAUAGUGAUCCGGUGGUUCUGAAUGGAAGGGCCAUCGCUCAACGGAUAAAAGGUACUCCGGGGAUAACAGGCUGAUACCGCCCAAGAGUUCAUAUCGACGGCGGUGUUUGGCACCUCGAUGUCGGCUCAUCACAUCCUGGGGCUGAAGUAGGUCCCAAGGGUAUGGCUGUUCGCCAUUUAAAGUGGUACGCGAGCUGGGUUUAGAACGUCGUGAGACAGUUCGGUCCCUAUCUGCCGUGGGCGCUGGAGAACUGAGGGGGGCUGCUCCUAGUACGAGAGGACCGGAGUGGACGCAUCACUGGUGUUCGGGUUGUCAUGCCAAUGGCACUGCCCGGUAGCUAAAUGCGGAAGAGAUAAGUGCUGAAAGCAUCUAAGCACGAAACUUGCCCCGA